GGAGAGGUCGCAUAGUCCGGUCGAGUGCGCACGAUUGGAAAUCGUGUAGGUGUAACAGCCUCGAGGGUUCGAAUCCCUCCCUCUCCG
Molecule: transfer RNA, 87 nt
Filed under: Anaerolineaceae bacterium
Lineage: Bacteria; Bacillati; Chloroflexota; Anaerolineae; Anaerolineales; Anaerolineaceae
Also listed under: 2 other names
Description: tRNA-Ser
Rfam family: tRNA
About the family: Transfer RNA (tRNA) molecules are approximately 80 nucleotides in length.
Source: RNAcentral